AUACCCUCCCUGUAGCAGCACCUGGCCACAGGCACCAGCUGUCUGUUCUCUAGGUAUAAGGAAGUAGGGACGUAGACUGGCCAGAGAAUGGAUGUGGGGAUGCAAAGAGGGCAGCACAGCCUAGUACAGCCAGCCCAGGACCACAGAAGUCCUCUUUCACAGGAACACGCGUAGGAAAUUAAAACCAUUUGAGUAAAUAAGGAUAAUGCGA
Long non-coding RNA from Corapipo altera (White-ruffed manakin), 211 nucleotides. RefSeq lists it as uncharacterized. The transcript has 2 exons. Lineage: Eukaryota; Metazoa; Chordata; Aves; Passeriformes; Pipridae. The record is from RefSeq and is a predicted model, not a curated record.